CAGGAAAUAGUUUAAAUAGAAUAAUAGCUUUGGGGGUUGUAGGUGUGAGUGUGGAUUCUUGCUUUUCUGA
This 70-nucleotide transfer RNA is filed under the name Iconaster longimanus. RNAcentral describes it as "tRNA-Pro". Lineage: Eukaryota; Metazoa; Echinodermata; Asteroidea; Valvatida; Goniasteridae. The record is from RNAcentral.